Cyprinus carpio carpio is the source of this 1369-nucleotide long non-coding RNA. The record is from Ensembl. Lineage: Eukaryota; Metazoa; Chordata; Actinopteri; Cypriniformes; Cyprinidae.
GCGGUUCUAAAGCAGGAUCAUCUUUAUUGGGGAUAAAUUGUCUGUGUACGCAAAGCCAUUCACUCAAUAGCCCUCUCACAUUUAAUAUUUAUUAUUGUCUUGGGAAGCUGCAUUAGAGUUUUUGCUCUUUUAUGUUUUUCAAUUACUUACAUGCAUUACACAUUCUUUGUUCAGUUAUUAAGUUAAUGACUUUACAUCAACACAAUCUUUUCAGUUAGAGAUUUCUUUAAAAAAGAUUAUCAUAUUGCAAUCAUAUUCUAUAUAAAUGUGCUACAUGCAAACUGUCAAACCAACUGAAUCACUACUGAUGAAAUUGGAUGGGCUUGAAUCGUCAUUAUAAAAAAAUACAGUACUGCAGAAUGCUUUCAUCUUGAUCUAUUUGUUUCUUAUAAACACACAGCUUUUGGCUUCACAGGAUGUUAAUUGGAUGACUGAAGAAGUGUAGAUUACUUGUGGAUUAUCGUGAUGUUUUUAUCAGCUGUUUGGACUCUCAUUCUGACGGCACCCAUUCACUGCAGAGGAUCCAUUGUUGAGCAAGAGCUGUAAUGUUAUAUUUCUCCAAAUCUGAUGAAGAAACAAACUCAUCUCCAUCUUGGAUGGCAUGAGGAAUGGCAGCACAGCUGAGAGCUGCAGGUGGAUGGCUCUAGGUUGCCAUUUUGAAGGCAACAUGACAAGCUGUCACAGCACAAUGGCAGACAUGUUUCAAGACCACAGUGGACCAGUAAGCCGAGUAUUGAUAUUCAGCACUCUCAGCCAUUCCUGCAAGAUCAGAUAUAGCUCCAAAGCAAACUGACGUGAAAAAGACGGGGAUGCUUGUCUCAAGUUCUAAGGAAAUAAUGGAGCAAAGCAAUGGAGGGUUGCAUAAACAAACCUGCAGUAAAUGGAUGUAUCCACUAACACUGUGUGGGUAUUUCACUGGAAAGAACUAAUAAGCAAGGACAUUACAAACAAAGGAAAACAAAGGCCAAGAUCUGCUCAGGUUUCAGAGCUCUCACUGGGAAUGUUCUUCAGAGAACAGGUGCUCAAAGGAAGCUUUAAUCUUCUAUCAAACUAUUCCAAAACCUGACUCAAUGGGAGCCGUUAAAAUAAUGUUACAGUGAUGUAAGCGGUUUACUCUGUAUGCCAGAUCAGCAUUCAUAAUAGGCUCUGAGACAUGGGACAAAAAAACUUAAAAUGACAACAAAUGUCCACUUUGAAAUGAAUCAGAGAUGAUCACUUGAAUGUUCUUAUUACAAAUUGUGUUCUUAUUUUUAUCAGAAUUAUAAAAGUUGCCUGUAUCAGUGACUAUAGACGAUAACGGUAUUAUUUGAAAACGUUUUGUUUUAGUUGAAAACCGUGUGUUAUUUUAUUCAAAUUUAUGAUUUCUGUC